CGGCAGCGGGAGAACCGGACCGGACAUUUUGUCCGAUUGGACGGCGACCAUACUAUGGCACGUCCUUGGGGUGUAUUCGCGAUGCGAUAGGGGACUCUCUUUCCCGAACCCGACAGCUAAUCUCGUCAGCGUAAGAGAGCGGAU
Molecule: small RNA, 144 nt
Filed under: human gut metagenome
Also listed under: 1 other name
Description: ydaO/yuaA leader
Rfam family: c-di-AMP riboswitch aptamer (ydaO/yuaA leader)
About the family: This family represents a conserved RNA structure found upstream of the ydaO and yuaA genes in Bacillus subtilis and related genes in other bacteria. The ydaO/yuaA element is thought to act as a genetic "off" switch for the ydaO and yuaA genes in its native state. It is believed that the element may be triggered during osmotic shock leading to activation of ydaO, a predicted amino acid transporter gene, and members of the yuaA-yubG operon which code for KtrA and KtrB K+ transporters.
Source: RNAcentral